AUGGCGGCCGCCGGCUCGGAGGCUGAGCGGAGCGGCGAGAAGCCGCCGGCGAAUGCGCCCGCCUUGGAGGCCGCCAGGACGAUGUCGCCGGAGCGCGGCAUCCAGUCGCCCGUGAACGGAGGCCCAGGGAAGGAGCCGUCGGGGGAGGCCAAGGUCGUCGAAGAGCGGCGGGAGGAUGGGGUCCAAGCGGCCGACGCGGAGCGCAGCGACGAAUCGACCAAGGCGGACGAGGGGGCCUUCGUCGACUCGACCAAGGCGGAGAACAUCAAGAAGCUGCAGUCGGAGGCGCCCACCGACGACCCGGACGCCGAGCCUGCAGAUGUCAAGAGCAACGGCAAGAACGUCGACGCGGCCACGAGCGCCGCCAAGGAGGACGGGAACCCGGUGGAGGAGGACCCCACCAACGUCCCGGAGGCGGAGGACCCGAGCAGUACCAAUCCAGCUGGUACCUCAAGGUCUUGGUCAAGCACGGUAUUCAAGGCUGGGAAAGCCAUCGAGGAAUCUAGUCGCUAUGUUGGUAGCUGGCACGCGCCGCUGCAACACAGCAGCGAUUUCCUGCGACAGGUUGCGCGCUACGCCCCAGCCACAGGACUCCAGCAGGGUUGUCCUGCUGCAUUCAUCUGGCUGUCUUGGGCCUGCGACAAGGUCAGUGCUUUCCUCGCCGAGGUGGCAACAACCGUGCAGGGUGCAUCGGCCCUUGGGCGAAUGGUAGGCCGCUGCACGAGUAUGAUCGGCAACAACCUUAAGGCGGAGCCGGGGGAAGAACCAGAGCCAGGCAAGAAAGAUGGCACCGCUGCCAAGGUGCUAAUCACAUCAUGUGACCAGCUUGAGGAAGUAUUGAGGUUCUGGGAGGCAGGAGCGAGGGUCCAGCUGGAUAUAGGCCCGGACGUGAGCGCCGCGCUGGCCAAUCUCUUGUAUGACAUGCUCAAACAGCGAGGGCCUGCUGCCCUUGAUCUUAUCAAGAAUGGCUCCAACAUGGCGGCAAAGCGCUCAGGGGCAUAG
RNAcentral lists this ribosomal RNA (1002 nucleotides) under Triticum aestivum (bread wheat). Its description in RNAcentral is "partial small subunit ribosomal RNA". The record is from RNAcentral. Lineage: Eukaryota; Viridiplantae; Streptophyta; Magnoliopsida; Poales; Poaceae.